RNAcentral lists this long non-coding RNA (221 nucleotides) under Elaeis guineensis (African oil palm). Its description in RNAcentral is "long non-coding RNA (EGUI_LNC004298)". The record is from RNAcentral. Lineage: Eukaryota; Viridiplantae; Streptophyta; Magnoliopsida; Arecales; Arecaceae.
GGUUAACUACUAUGCAUCCUGUAUCAUUAGAGGAAUGAGAUUUCAUAUAAAAGAGCUUGAGAUGCAAAGAUGAAUUUAGAAUAAUGGGAUUGCUAUGAUAGGAUAUGAAGGUAAAGAAGAGAUGGAAUAUCUUGGUGUAUUGAUAGAUAUCAUAAAACUGAAGUAUGGAUCCAAUAAUUCAGUAUUCUUAUUUAAGUAUGAAUGGUGGGAUUGUAGCAAUA